Long non-coding RNA from Mustela erminea (ermine), 120 nucleotides. RefSeq lists it as uncharacterized. NCBI's taxonomy places the organism in Eukaryota, Metazoa, Chordata, Mammalia, Carnivora, Mustelidae. The transcript is spliced from 3 exons. The record is from RefSeq and is a predicted model, not a curated record.
AACUAGAGGGUAUUCAUUAUGCUAAGCAAAAUAAGUCAAUCAGAGAAAGACAAUUAUGAUAUGACCUCACUGAUACAUGGAAUCUACGAAACUAAACAAAGGAUCAUCGGGGAAGAGAGG